GUAUUCUGCUCUCAGAACAGGAUGCCUGUGGGAUUCCCGGAAGCAAGAUGUGACCACAGCAACACUAUCCCCACUUGUGGAACAAGGGCAUAACUGCCUCUGAUACCAGAGGCACACAUCCUGGAUGACAAAUAGCCUUUGGUAACCUUAUUCAGGGAUUUGUCUAACCCCCUUUUAAAGCUGUCCACAUUGGUCAGCAUUGCUACACCUGGGCACAGUGUGGGGAAGCACUUCCUUUUGUCUGCUCUGACUCUUCCAAUAUUCAGCUUCAUUGGCUAUCCCCAGGUUUUAAUAUUAUGGGGGGACAGACUCUCUCCACUUUUCCCACACCAAGCAUAAACAUCUCUAUCAUGUGUCUUUUUUUCUAGCACAGUUCAAAGUGUUAGUGCUUACCUUUAAAGCCCUAAAUGGUCUUGGUCCUGUAUACCUGAAGGAGCAUCUCCACCCCCAUCAUCCAGCCCGGACAUGGAGAUCCAGCUCUGAGGGCCUUCUGGUUGUUCCCUCUCUGUGAGAAGUGAAGUUAUAGGGAACCAGACAGAGGGCCUUCUCGGUAGUGGCGCCCACCCUGUGCAACGCCCUCCCAGCAUAUGCCAAGGAGAUAAACAGCUAUAUGACAUUCAGAAGACAUAUAAAGGCAGCCCUGUAUAGGGAAGUUUUUAAUGUUUGUUUGUGUUUUUAAUAUUUUGUUGGAAGCUGCCCGAAGUGGCUGGGGCAACCCAGUCAGAUGGGAGGCGUUGUUGUUGUUGUUGUUGUUGUUGUUGUUGUUGUUGCUGUUAAAGCUCCAAACCUUUUCUCAUAGGGAAGUUGCUUCCAGCCCUUUGAUAAUUUUUGUUGCCCUUUUAUCCAUCUUUCCCCCGUUUACAUUUUCGUAGUGAGGCAACUACAACCGUACACAGUAUUCCAAGCACAGGUGCACCAAAGAGUUGUGUAAUGGCAUUUUAAUAUUUCAAGUUUUAUUUCCAAUCCCUUUCCUAAUAAUAAUAAUAAUAAUAAUAAUAAUAAUAAUAAAUAAUAAUAAUAAUAAUAAUUUAUUUGUACCCUGCGCAUCUGGCUGGGUUUCCCCAGCCACUCUGGGUGGCUUCCAACAAAGAUUAACAAUACAUUAAAAUGUCACACAUUAAAAACUUCCCUGAUCUCUAGCAUGGGAUUUGCCUUUUUCCACAGCCACCAGACACUGAACAGACAUUGAAGAGCAGGGUGUGUGGGUGUGGGUGUGGGUGUGGGUGAGAGAGAGAGAGAGAGAGAGAGAGAGACCACUUCCAGAAGAUAUUCAGGCUCAGCUGUUGGCAAUUAUUUAUAGCAGAGCUGAGGCAUCUGCAACCACCCAGAUGUUGCUGCAUGCCAUCAGCCAAAAGCAUACACGACCAGCAGUUGGGGAUAAUGGAGAUUGCAGUCCUGUAACACCUGAAGAACCAUCAGAAUAAGCACAUUCCAAAACUGAUGGAAGGACACUGAGAACACCCCUCUACAUACCCUUAUGGGCCUGACCUUUGGUCACCAGACAUAUAUUUAUGCCAGGACAUUUUUUCUCAUGAAUUAUUUUUAUAAUUCAUAUAUUUAUAUACUGCUUUAUAAAACUUUCUUUUUAAAAAAAGAAAAGAAAGAAAAACAAGAUCAAGUUCUUUCCCUUUUUGUUUUUUUGCUAGAAGCAGAGAGAAGACUCCCAUGCUGUUCUGUGUAAUGACCAUGGAAUGAUCGGAAGUGUAUUAAUGGAGGGGCAAUCAUGUGGCA
RNAcentral lists this long non-coding RNA (1731 nucleotides) under Podarcis lilfordi (Lilford's wall lizard). The record is from RNAcentral. Lineage: Eukaryota; Metazoa; Chordata; Lepidosauria; Squamata; Lacertidae.